UUGACCUCAAAUCAGGUAGGACUACCCGCUGAACUUAAGCAUAUCAAUAAGCGGAGGAAAAGAAACUAACAAGGAUUCCCCUAGUAACUGCGAGUGAAGCGGGAAAAGCUCAAAUUUAAAAUCUGACGGUCUUUAUGGCCUUCCGAGUUGUAAUCUAGAGAAGUGCUAUCCGCGCUGGACCGUGUACAAGUCUCCUGGAACGGAGCGUCAUAGAGGGUGAGAAUCCCGUCUUUGCCACGGACUACCAGGGCUUAUGUGAUGCGCUCUCAAAGAGUCGAGUUGUUUGGGAAUGCAGCUCUAAAUGGGUGGUAAAUUCCAUCUAAAGCUAAAUAUUGGCGAGAGACCGAUAGCGAACAAGUACCGUGAGGGAAAGAUGAAAAGAACUUUGGAAAGAGAGUUAAACAGUACGUGAAAUUGUUGAAAGGGAAACGCUUGAAGUCAGUCGCGUUGACCAGGAAUCAGCCUUGCUUUUGCUUGGCGCACUUUCUGGUUAA
RNAcentral lists this ribosomal RNA (494 nucleotides) under Tricholoma magnivelare. RNAcentral's name for it is "eukaryotic LSU rRNA". It matches the Rfam family "Eukaryotic large subunit ribosomal RNA", at positions 1 to 491 of the family's 3401-position model. Lineage: Eukaryota; Fungi; Basidiomycota; Agaricomycetes; Agaricales; Tricholomataceae. The record is from RNAcentral.